RNAcentral lists this ribosomal RNA (253 nucleotides) under uncultured bacterium. RNAcentral's name for it is "partial 16S ribosomal RNA". It matches the Rfam family "Bacterial small subunit ribosomal RNA", at positions 524 to 776 of the family's 1533-position model. The record is from RNAcentral.
UACAGAGGGUGCGAGCGUUAACCGGAAUUACUGGGCGUAAAGCGCGCGUAGGCGGCUUUUCAAGUCGGGUGUGAAAUCCCCAGGCUUAACCUGGGAACUGCAUUCGAGACUGCAUUGCUAGAGUAUGGGAGAGGGAAGUGGAAUUUCCGGUGUAGCGGUGAAAUGCGUAGAUAUCGGAAGGAACACCGGUGGCGAAAGCGGGUUCCUGGACCGAUCCUGACGCUCAUGUGCGAAAGCGUGGGGAGCAAACAGG